GCAUAAUCACUUGCCCCCUAAUUAGGGGCUAGCAUGAAUGGACAAACGAGAUUAUAGCUGUCUCCUCUACACCCAUAAAAAUUAAUCUACAGGUGAAGAAGCCUGUAUCCAUAUAAAAGACAAGAAGACCCUGUCGAGCUUUAAUUAUUUAUAAAAUAUAGUAACCCUACUCAAUACUCCCUUUUAUAAAUAACUUUUGUUGGGGCGACAAUGGAAUAAAUAAAACCUCCACCAUACUCAAAACACCAAGUUUCUCAAAAGAUCCUCUACAGAUACCAGGCAUCAGCUACCGCAGGGAUAACAGACUAAUCUUCCUUAAGAGCCCAAAUCUACAGGAAGGCUUGG
This 345-nucleotide ribosomal RNA is filed under the name Palola environmental sample. RNAcentral describes it as "partial 16S ribosomal RNA". It matches the Rfam family "Bacterial large subunit ribosomal RNA", at positions 1959 to 2521 of the family's 2925-position model. Lineage: Eukaryota; Metazoa; Annelida; Polychaeta; Eunicida; Eunicidae. The record is from RNAcentral.